This is an RNA transcript of Sapajus apella (tufted capuchin), 1342 nucleotides long. It is a transcript of the gene named eukaryotic initiation factor 4A-II pseudogene, with no coding region annotated. Lineage: Eukaryota; Metazoa; Chordata; Mammalia; Primates; Cebidae. The transcript has a single exon. The record is from RefSeq and is a predicted model, not a curated record.
GCUUUUCAGUCGGGCGCUGAGUGGGUUUAUCGGAUCAUGUCUAGUGGCUCCGCAGAUUAUAACAGAGAACAUGGCGGCCCAGAGGGAAUGGACCCCGAUGGUGUCAUCGAGAGCAACUGGAAUGAGAUUGUUGAUAACUUUGAUAUGAAUUUAAAGGAGUCUCUUCUUCGGGGCAUCUAUGCUUACGGUUUUGAGAAGCCUUCCACUAUUCAGCAGAGAGCUAUUAUUCCCUGUAUUAAAGGGUAUGAUGUGAUCGCUCAAGCUCAGUCAGGUACUGGCAAGACAGCCACAUUUGCUAUUUCCAUCCUGGAUUGAGUUCAAGGAGACCCAAGCACUAGUACUGGCCCCCACCAGGGAACUGGCUCAACAGAUCCAAAAGGUAAUUCUGGCACUUGGAGACUAUAUGGGAGCAACUUGCCAUGCCUGCAUUGGUAGAACAAAUGUUUGAAAUGAAAUGCAAAAACUGCAGGCCGAAGCACCACAUAUUGUUGUUGGUACAUCUGGGAGAGUGUUUGAUAUGUUAAACAGAAGAUAUCUUUCUCCAAAAUGGAUCAAAAUGUUUGUUUUGGACGAAGCAGAUGAAAUGUUGAGUCGUGGGUUUAAGGAUCAAAUCUAUGAGAUUUUCCAAAAACUAAAUACAAGUAUUCAGGUUGUGUUGCUUUCUGCCACAAUGCCAACUGAUGUGUUGGAAGUGACCAAAAAAUUCAUGAGAGAUCCCAUUCGAAUUCUGGUGAAAAAGGAAGAAUUGACCCUUGAAGGAAUCAAACAGUUUUAUAUUAAUGUUGAGAGAGAGGAAUGGAAGUUGGAUACACUUUGUGACUUGUAUGAGACACUGACCAUUAUGCAGGCUGUUAUUUUUCUCAAUACAAGGCGCAAGGUGGACUGGCUGACUGAGAAAAUGCAUGCCACAGACUUCAGUUUCUGCUCUGCAUGGUGACAUAGACCAGAAGGAGAGAGAUGUUAUCAUGAGGGAAUUCCAAUUGGGGUCAAGCCGUGUUCUGAUAACUACUGACUUGUUGGCUCGUGGGAUUGAUGUGCAACAAGUGUCUUUGGUUAUAAAUUAUGAUCUACCUACCAAUCGUGAAAACUAUAUUCACAGAAUUGGCAGAGGGGGUUGAUUUGGGAAGAAAGGUGUGGCUAUAAACUUUGUUACCGAAGACGACAAGAGGAUUCUUCGUGACAUUGAGACUUUCUACAAUACUACAGUGGAGGAGAUGCCCAUGAAUGUGGCUGAUCUUUAAUUCCUGGGAUGAGAGUUUUGGAUGCAGUGCUCGCUGUUGCUGAAUAGGCGAUCACAACGUGCAUUGUGCUUCUUCUUCUUUUUUUUUUUUUUUUUGAGACA